Molecule: ribosomal RNA, 376 nt
Filed under: bacterium enrichment culture DGGE band 60_3_FGQ_L
Lineage: Bacteria
Description: bacterial SSU rRNA
Rfam family: Archaeal small subunit ribosomal RNA
Source: RNAcentral
GUGUCAGCCGCCGCGGUAAUACCAGCCCCGCGAGUGGUCGGGACGAUUAUUGGGCCUAAAGCGUCCGUAGCCGGCCCGGCAAGUCCCUCCUUAAAGCCCACGGCUCAACCGUGGGAGCGGGGGGAUACUGUCGGGCUAGGGGGCGGGAGAGGCCGGGGGUACUCCUGGGGUAGGGGCGAAAUCCUAUAAUCCCAGGAGGACCACCAGUGGCGAAGGCGCCCGGCUGGAACGCGCCCGACGGUGAGGGACGAAAGCUGGGGGAGCAAAGGGGAUUAGAUACCCCCGUAGUCCCAGCUGUAAACGAUGCGGGCUAGGUGUGUGGCGGGCUUCGAGCCCGCCCAGUGUCGUAGGGAAGCCGUUAAGCCCGCCGCCUGGG